RNAcentral lists this ribosomal RNA (241 nucleotides) under uncultured Glomus. RNAcentral describes it as "partial 18S ribosomal RNA". It matches the Rfam family "Eukaryotic small subunit ribosomal RNA", at positions 665 to 886 of the family's 1831-position model. The record is from RNAcentral. RNAcentral also lists the same sequence under 1 other name. Lineage: Eukaryota; Fungi; Glomeromycota; Glomeromycetes; Glomerales; Glomeraceae.
GGAUUGACACAUCAGUCGUGCCUUAAGGGGUAUGAACUGGUGUAGUCAGUUUCUCACCUUCUAAAGAACCGUAAUGCCAUUAAUUUGGUGUUACGGGGAAUUAGGACUGUUACCUUGAAAAAUUAGAGUGUUUAAAGCAGGCUCACGCUUGAAUACAUCAGCAUGGAACAAUGAAAUAGGACAUCCGAUUCUAUUUUGUUGGUCUCUAGGAUCGAUGUAAUGAUUAAUAGGGAUAGUUGGG